GCCGAAAUUUUUGAAUCUUUUUAAGAAUUUAGGUAAUAUUUGUUUAAAUUCAACUAAAUUUUAUUCAAAAUUUUGGAAAUUUCGGAUCGAAAUUUCUGAAAUUUCGGGAUUUCGGUGACCCCUGAUCAAAAGCCCUAAACCUAUACAGUGAACCCUCCUGGUACGUAUCGGAUACCUGAUUAUUUAGACCGGCGUAAUCAAAAUCGAAAGAAGAGCUUCGGUUCUUGGUGGUGGAGGAUGGCUUCGUCGUCGUUGCUCCUCCGAUCCGCCGCCCGCGAGCUCCGGCGGCGGCGGUCGAUAUUCCGUCCACCGCGCUUGGCCGCCCCUCCGGUGGAGCCCGGCUCGCGUCUCCUCACCACCGAUGGCGCCGCGAAGAACACCACACCGCCCUCCUCCUCCACUCCCAAUGCGACCCAGUUCCAGUUGCUUCGUCUGGAGGAUGCCUUGGCCUUGCGCUCCGAAAACUACAGGUCUGCAGGGAUGAAGUAAUAGCAUACAAAAGGUAUUUGCUCAAGAAGAAGAAGGAAAGUGACCUGGACUACUUGUUGACUUUGGACCAGUUCAGUGAUACCAUGGAAGAAUGGUCCUCUAUUCUUCGACAAACCAAAGAGGUAUUUGAGGCUAAAAAUAAAGAGUCUGCCGAAAUGUAUCGUCUUGUUCGACAACGGGCACUGUUAAUUUCGUACUCCGCUGUUUUUGCCGUCGCUCUUUAUAAUCUGUAUUUGUUUAGUUAAGGUGAAAAUUGUCAGCUGCAAAGCUCACAGUGUGCUGUGAACCAU
Molecule: long non-coding RNA, 779 nt
Organism: Oryza sativa Japonica Group (Japanese rice)
Lineage: Eukaryota; Viridiplantae; Streptophyta; Magnoliopsida; Poales; Poaceae
Source: RefSeq, a predicted model, not a curated record